This 247-nucleotide transfer-messenger RNA is filed under the name Bartonella sp. B1. RNAcentral describes it as "partial ssrA". It matches the Rfam family "Alphaproteobacteria transfer-messenger RNA", at positions 81 to 331 of the family's 355-position model. Rfam says of the family: Bacterial tmRNA, also known as 10Sa RNA or SsrA, is named for its dual tRNA and mRNA-like properties. Its role is to liberate the mRNA from a stalled ribosome. The record is from RNAcentral. Lineage: Bacteria; Pseudomonadati; Pseudomonadota; Alphaproteobacteria; Hyphomicrobiales; Bartonellaceae.
ACUUAUUGGACCCGGGGGCGGUACCCGGCGCCUCCACCAAAAUAUAAAAAAUUAUAUUUUGGUGGGGGCGAAAUAGGAUCGACAAGAGCGUAAAGAUUGCUCUUUUACUCGGCAUAGUACCACCGUUAUCGGACUAAAUGAGUAGUUGCAAAUGACACCUAUGCGGAAGCACGUCUCGCCGCUUAAAGUGGUGUGAAUGUUUCAAAUUAAGUCUUAAACCGUCGCAGGUUUAAGCGGGGUUCGAAGG